GUGUAAGAUCAGGCUCACAUGUGUCUGUGAAGAGUGACCGGUCAAAGGGUGAUAACAUGCCGAACUUCAGUGAGAAAAAAACAUCUAUCAAAAGUGUAAGAUCAGGCUCACAUGUGUCUGUGAAGAGUGACGAGUCAAAGGAUGAAGCACCAAACUUCAGUGAAGAAACAACACGAAGCAAACGGCUUCAGUAUGAAACAUUAGAUCCAGAUUUACAGUCUCACAGGAACCACAAGAAUUUUACAGACAGUCUCCUGCAGAUCU
Long non-coding RNA from Sinocyclocheilus anshuiensis, 264 nucleotides. RefSeq lists it as uncharacterized. NCBI's taxonomy places the organism in Eukaryota, Metazoa, Chordata, Actinopteri, Cypriniformes, Cyprinidae. The record is from RefSeq and is a predicted model, not a curated record. The transcript is spliced from 3 exons.